Non-coding RNA from Gasterosteus aculeatus aculeatus (three-spined stickleback), 6746 nucleotides. The record is from RefSeq and is a predicted model, not a curated record. Lineage: Eukaryota; Metazoa; Chordata; Actinopteri; Perciformes; Gasterosteidae.
UGUGUGUGUGUGUGUGUACACACACGAGAUACAGGCGGACAUGGAGGGAGAGAAAGGGAGGGGGAGUGCACAGAGCAGUAAGCCCGUGAGCAGGACAUGAUUGCAGUGUGUAUCUUAUCUGUGUCAGGUCCUCCUGAGGCUAGUGGAGCCUAGCUGAGCGGAGCAUGAGCGCUUCAGUGACCAGUCAACCGUGUGAAGGCAAUACGAAUCAAGCAACAUUCCAUGUUGAAGGUCAACGCUCCCACGUACAAACAGUGUGAAGGAGGAGGAGGUGAGAGGAAGAGAAAAAACGUGUUUGUGUCAAACAUUCUUUCACUGUGUUUUCCUGCUUGCCUUUAAAAUCUGUCCCCAUCAAUUAGUAUAGAUACUGGACUUUCAUUGAGAUUAAGUGACAAAUAUCAGUGCCUGCUCACAAGAAAGACACUUUUAACGUCUGCCCAACAAUCUGUUAAGUCAAAACACAUGCAGUGAUUCAAGGCUAGAAGCCUGCGAGGGGUCCUCCAUGCAAUGAAAAACAGGUGCUGUACUUUUGGGCCAUGUAAUACCCCAUUUAGCCUCUGGAGCAAAGGUUAUCCAGCUAAUAGCUGCCUUGUGGUGCACUGGGAGGAGCUGUGCACAUGGCCGGAGUAAACAUCUGGGACGGAUUGUAAAUACUUGCAACAUAUGCUUCAAGUUCAAUUAAAAUGAAGCCUUGGCAUAUUUAUUAAUCUUUUUCCCUCUCCUCUCGCUCUCUCUCCUUCUGGUUCUCUUUCACUCUCUCCAUUACAGGACUGUGUCAUAGAAGAGGCCUCCUUCGAUAGAUCUCCUUCAGACUUAAACAAUCUGAAGUCGUACCUCAUAUCCAAUGUAGAAUGACGCAUGUACAAAGUAGAAAACCAAAUUUGUUAAGUCUUGGAAGUGCAUUUGUUCUGUACUUGAACAGACAGCAAGAGGGGGAGACGGGCGGGAAAAGGAAUAAAAAAAAGAAAGGGGAAAGGACGAUUAAGGGAAGGGUAAAAGGAGAGUGGGAGGGCAAAGACACGUAGGCAAAGAAAAAAGAGAAAUGCCCCCCUUUCAACUUCCCUACAGCUCAAAUGAAAUGCUAACAGCUGAGGGGAGCAAUAGAUCAAAAUGUAUGAAGCCAGAGUUGUUAAAUUGUAGCCUUUGUGGCGGCUGUGCUAUCCAGCAUCCCAGCCCUGUGUGAGCACAGAGAGCAAGGCCCUCUUAUGUGGAAUAAUCAGUUUGGAACCAAAUCUGAAGCCGCAAAAGCUGCUGCUGCACCUCAUUUCAAUAUGAAAGUCCAAAAAUGUAUUUUGUAUAAUCUGUUGCUUUUCAAAUGCCUGCAUUUUUUUUCCCUGAGAGGAGGUGGAAAAUGCAAUGAUGGAGGGCAGACAUUAAGAAAGGGCCAAAAAAAAUAAAAAAAAUGGAAGGUUCAAGGUUGGUGCAUAUCUUCAGUCAGCGCCCCCCCCCCUUCUUGUACAUUUCAGCCUUGGAACUCCACAGCCAUGGAACUUUGGUUCUGCAUCACUGUGGGAGAGGAUGUAAUGCUCACGUGUCCUUGUGUGCUCAUCGCCCAACAGGCUGCCUGGCUGACCGACGGCAUGACUCACUAGUGGGCUGACUAUUUGACCAUCUGCACCAUAAAUGUGUUUUUUCUAACCCGUUUGUUGCUGGCCCUACAGAACAGGAGAAGCUUUAGCAAGGUUAGCAGAAGUAAAUUCCACAUGCAGACUUCUCCCCAGGCUAGAAUAUUUUUCACAUAUCAAAUUGUUGGUACAACGAUUCAAAGGCCUUCAAGAUUACUAUUGCACACAGCCGCAGUUUUCCCUGACAAAGAUCACCGGAACGGACCAUGCAAUUUACCACAUCUUAGCCUACUAACCUUUACACUGCAGACGUGUGGCUGUAAGGCAUCAAGUAUCAGCUCAAGUAAUUUAAGAUUCUAUACUGUGCUGCUUCAAGCUGCUUCACUCUCCUCACAGAGAUUUGUAAUGUCCUUUAAAGUUAACACCGCCUGGGUCUCAUUAGACUAGUGUGUCAAACAGCACAUUGUUUUGUGUGGCGCACACAAAACCAGACAACUCAGGGCUUGAAUAAAGAGCUGUACCAUUUCAAUUACCAUUCCCAAGUGGAACAUUGACAAGGGACCGCAUCCUAUCCAGUGGCAUUUGUUUCAGUAGCUGUUCCUACAGUGUAAACGAGCGGAGGCAGUAAAGCAGCCACCUGUUGUUACCUGAUCGUGUCUGGACAAGCCCAGAUGCUGUUUUACUGGCACAUAAAGGACCAGUGAGUGGACCUAAAUUGCUAACUAAGCACUUUAUGUGGUUGCAUGUUCACAGGAAGCUGGGCUGAAGCACAAGCCUAACUUCAAUUCAACAGUGUCGCGUGAAGCUUAAAAAUGAGGAUAUUGUGGCAAAACUGCAGUAGCAGAACAAAGCAAACCCCAAAGACGAAAGGAUGAGAAAUGUGUUGUGUAUAUAUCGACAGUGAAAACUUUUCAAGAAGUUAAAAGGUUGUACAAUCUUUGCACAUGUGUUUGUGCCUCAGGCAGAGAGAAUACCUGAACAGGGGAGGAGACGGGACGAGAAGAUGGAGUCAUUUCUUUCUUCCGUUUGUGUUUCCGGUGUAUGGAGCAGUGUCGACCUCUCCCGAGGCAGUGUGAGUGUACGUGCGUGUACGUGUGUACGUGUACGUGUGUGCGUGCGCACCCGCGAGUGAAUCCCAGACAAGACAUAAUUACCUUGUCAUCUCUGUCAAAUUCCUCGUCCUCGUCCUCCAGCAGGUCCUCCAUCGCUUGCUGACGGUUGCAACAGAGGAAAGAAAAACAGAAAGAAAGAAAGAAAGAAAAAAGAAAAAGAAUGUUUAUGCAACAGAUAAACAUCGGAUAGCACAGGGUUAAAAUCAUUAGAACAGCCGAGGAGGCAUUGUAAAGCUGAUUGGUUAUGCUUGUAACCAGGAGGUGGCAGGAGGUUUGUUAAUGUUUGAGUAUGGAAAACAUGCAGAGGGACACCUACUGGAUUGGUGUGCGUGUGUGUGCAAUUAUGUCACAAGCUUCAAGAAUGUUGACGACUUUAAAAUUAGAAACAUUCUGUUGUUGAAAUGUGUUGACACUUCUGUAAGUGCAAGCAAAUGUUCUGGCUAUGGGUUUCAACAGGCUGAGGAUUAAAAGCUAUUCAUCCACUGAAAUUGCAUUGCACAAAAGCAUUCAGACCUUAUUCCAUUCAGCAGGAUGAGACCAGGAACUCUUCUUCUGCAUGGUCUCAUCUGACCUCUUUAACCUUUGUACUCGUCUUCUAUCUAUCGUUUCACAUCCUUUCGCCGAAAGAUGCUCCAUGAGAAAGAAAAGAAGAAAGCCUGCAGCACACAAAGCGAGUCACAAAGAACAGCAACUACGUGCUUCAGUGGUCCACAACCGAUGAAACAGGAGCUGGUGGAGCUCUGAAGCCCCCAAAUGCCACGGUACACACUGCAGAACACUGCACUGCACUGCAUAUAACUGCAUUGUCUAUCCGGCACCACAAUUGCACAUUGCAAAGUUGAACCUUUUCCUGUUAGAUUAUGUCAUUUUCAGAUAAUUAUUUUGUUGUCUUUGAUGUUUACGCGGUUAAACUGACGCCAAAGAGGCAAAACCACGGCUGUGUCUCAUCUACCUUAUCUCUGCCAGUCACAUAUCAAAGCUACAAGGUCAUAAUGUCGCUCCGAAUUUCAAUAAACUAAACACCCGUAUCCUAAGCCCUACAGCCGUCAACCUCAGAAUCCAUCUAGUCUCGGUGCUGUGCUGCUUUACCAACCCCAACCCCCCCCCCCCCAAAAAAGAACGCUGCACGGCCUCAACAUCACCACAACCCCCUAACCACCUCCAGAACAACACAAACUGGCUUUGAGAAAUCCAAAAAUCAUUACUUAACAAGACAAUAGCUUUUGUCCUUUUUGUUUUUCAUCGGAAUAAGGGAGGGGGGGGGGCUAUGUGGCGGCCCACAUAAGCCUCUUAUGUAAAUGCAGCUUCCCACACAAACAAAGAGGAGUUCAGAACAGCGGAGUUGAGAGGGUAGAGUCAAUAGUGAGUGUGUGCGUGUUCUAUCAAUAGCUAGGAGUCUCCAGUGCAAAGGGUUGUGCGUCAAUAUGUGCGUGGCCACUCUAACCAUCAAAGUGUAGCACACUUGGUCAUUCACAGUUCACAGAGACUCCGUCAGUGUCUAGACAAAUAAGCUUGACUGUUGACAGCUCACAAUCUCUGUAUUAAUACAGAACACGUUCACUUUCACAGUAUACAAAAAACCGAGGGGGUUCUUUCCCUCAGCCGAGGCAAAAGAUGGAAAAGUGAUGCUGUGAAAUGAAAGCCUCCUGGCAACUCUCAACAGAUGAACUAUAACUGUUUAUAAAGUCAUCAUGGUUCCUUCUAAAUCCUUUCACCCGUGCCAAAAUACAAACAUAAUGGAUUCCUCCACACAGAGGUUUUACCAGGGCACGCCUGGCACACGCUCCAAACUUUAAACAAAGGGAAUGAGCAUGAGCUAGCUAGAGAAGCAUGACCUAGAGAGACAGAGAGAAUGAUAGUCGUUUGUCUCCCUCCGCUCUCUCUCUCCCUCCCUCCCUCUCGCUCUCUCUCUCUCCUCCAUCGCCCCCGGUUACAGAGAGAAGUCAUGUAUCCUGCAAUGAGACACAGUGUAAAAUUAAUAAAUAAAACGACACGGAACUUGUCAUCUGCCCUGAAGAUUGCCACGGCUAAAUGUGUGCACUGAAGCUACCGUCUCAGUAAGAGAGGAUAUAAAUUACCUCAGUGCAGCCGAUGAAUUCCAAACAUCUUUUUCUCCCUCUUUCUCUGCUUCCCUAUUUGUCUCAUUCUUUCGCUCUUUCCAAGACCUGUUUGGUGCAUGAUACCAUUUGUCUGCUUAUCCCUCUAUUAUCAUGUUGUUUGAAUUACUAUCAUUACAGCACGGCAGCAUCAAAGCCUUCCUGUCGACAGGAUCGCGUGGAGCCGACGUUGCCUGCAGAGCUGCUCCAGUCAAUUCAAUACCUACUGAGGCCGAGUUCCACCUUCUCCCCUCCUAACCUUCCCAAUGACAGCCGCAGAGGGAAUUGACGCCGUGCCAGACAUCUCAGCGAACAUGAAGAUAUAUUUUCUCCUCCUAUUUUUUUUCCUCCCAAUCCACCAUUUCUUCCUCCUUCCACCCUCCUGCUGCUCUUCCUCUUUGAUACGUGAGGGGGUUUUAACCUCUCCAGCUGCUGAGGUUUAGCCGACUGGCUGGCUGGGGGAUCUCAAGGCCCUACUUGGUAUGCACUGUCUAUGAGUGAGUGUGUGCGUGUGUGUGUGUAUGUGUGUGCGCAUAUUGCCUACACCACAGUUUCCGCAGACUGGGGGAGGGCUGCGCGUCUGAUAAGGGCUGCUGGCUGGGUCUGGCUGACCCACGCGAGCCCUUCACAAGCUGUCAGAGCCGUGGCCCUCAGAGGGGGGCCCUUCCAUCUGCACCGCCCCAGCCAGGGCUCACCCAGCAGGGGGCCAGAGAGGGGUGAGGUUGGGGUGCUACCGGAGCUGGAGGCCGGGGGGUGGGCGGGAGAAGGCCGGCUCCAUAUUUAUGAAAGCAACCGCAAAGUGGUGAGCGAUGUAGAAGACGGUUUGGGGAUAGUAACACGGUGCCAAUGACUCAUUGCUUGUUGCUGACCAAAUCAGCAAACGUGUUCGGUCAGGCAUUCAGCAGCUAUUUAGAGGAAAGCACAACUUUACGUUAUCCACAAGCGUCGUUGAGACAGUUAAAACAGUAAUGAUAUGUUGGUCCUGACCAGAUGGAUGGUGACUUUUUUGUCUUAUUGUUUCUUAAACUCACUUGUGGAAAACAGGGCAAGAGCUGGUACACACCUGCCAUGCAAUCUAUUCCACACAAACGUACUCACAUUUGUAGGCUUAAGCUGAAUGCUUAAACUAAAAAACAGCUAGAGCGCGUAUACUGUACAGACAAAACAACAAGAUAGACACCCUGAGCUGCCGACGUUGUUAGCAAAGAGCACAGGCAGUUACAAAAGGUUCAGCGUGAUGAAGCGAGUCAGACAAACGGAGGGAAAGGAAGAGAAAGAGAGACAACGUGAUGAAAAGGGAGGCAGGGAGGAUUCUGCAGUGGCAUCCCUGAUGCUCUCGAUGCUCCCGUCCCGCUUCAAACUAUGCCCGUCUCCAGUCUUCUUGCCUGCCAGCCUGCCAUCCUAUCUGCCAGUUUAGCGGAGACAGAGCAGCAGCAAGAGGAGCGGAGACGAGCGCGGUGAUGCCGGGGCGGCACGGGGGAAAUCAGUGGGGCACAGGCGCUCCCAGUUAAAAGUGACAUGACCUUUUGAUUUUGUCACCUGUCACCAACUGCCAUGUCUGCCUCGGCACUGAGGAGUGCCUGCCAUCCGCCGCUGUUUUCCUCUGCCUCCGUCUCUGUGAAUGCCUCUCUGUCUUUUUCUGUCUCCUGCUCCCACUCCAUCUCCUUUUCAUUGCAGAGUUGUGGUUUUAUAGGGAAAAAAGUGGAGGUGUUACUUUUUGGAGGAGUUGAGGUAUAAUAGGCAGUGUUUCCUCUUUUCUUUCCAGCUUUCCUAAUAUCAACUUUUCUCUACCUGCGUUGUGUGUGGCUCUUAAUGAGGGCAGAUGUCACGGCACAGAAGCAGAAAAGUUUCUUUUUUUUUGUAGAUGCAAAAUCAUCAAAAUAGAGGAGAUGAAAAUGGUACCAUCGUGUUACAAUAAAAUCAGACGUUAUUAUUCUCAGAAACAAACAAGAUUCAUUUGUCUUUUUUUAUAA